CCUACGGGUGGCUGCAGUGAGGAAUAUUGGUCAAUGGACGAGAGUCUGAACCAGCCAAGUAGCGUGAAGGAUGAAUGCCCUAUGGUUUGUAAACUUCUUUUAUAAAGGAAUAAAGCGAUGCACGUGUGCCUUUUUGCAUGUACUUUAUUAAUAAGCAUCGGCUAACUCCGUGCCAGCAGCCGCGGUAAUACGGAGGAUUCGAGCGUUAUCCGGAUUUAUUGGGUUUAAAGGGAGCGUAGAUGGUUUUUUAAGUCAGGUGUGAAAGUUUGUGGCUCAACCGUAAAAUUGCCAUUGAUACUGGAAGUCUUGAGUACAGUUGAGGUAGGCGGAAUGCGUGGUGUAGCGGUGAAAUGCAUAGAUAUCACGAAGAACCCCGAUUGCGAAGGCAGCUUACUAAGCUAUGACUGACAUUGAUGCACGAAAGUGUGGGUAUCAAACAGGAUUAGAUACCCCGGUAGUC
RNAcentral lists this ribosomal RNA (460 nucleotides) under uncultured bacterium. Its description in RNAcentral is "partial 16S ribosomal RNA". It matches the Rfam family "Bacterial small subunit ribosomal RNA", at positions 338 to 795 of the family's 1533-position model. The record is from RNAcentral.